CCACUGUGGUGUAGGCCGGGGACCUGGAACUCAAGCUGCCGCCAACGCUGAGCCUCUGCGAGGGCCACUCCAUCGGCCAUGCCAGAGUCCUGCACCUGACCGGGCACCGGCCUGGAGUCAGGAGGCUGAGUGGGACCGGGGCAGCUCUACCAGGAAGAACCCAUCAAGUCCAGAGAAUGACCGCUGACAGCCGUCCACAAGAGGUGCCACAGGCCCCUGAGAGGACAGAGAGCUUCCCAGGUCUGUGGAUUCUCAGACCCGUGGACGGGAGGGAGGGUGCUUAGCUGCUGGGCUGCACCACCCGCACCCCAAACCUCCGAGGGAGGUCAGUGCCAUGACCCAUGGCCUCGGAGUAGUCACAAUCGGCGGCACCUGGACAGGGACCCCUUGCGUGCCUUGUUUGGGAGCAAUGGCCAUCUGCUGCAGAGACAGUCUGCAGUGGACUGGACACUGAGGUGGGAAGUGUGGACGGCCACCGACUGGCUUCUAGUCUGUCUUGGUGGGUUCUUCAGCAAUUGCUCCUUCACGGAAUCCAUGGCUACCACCUGUUCUCAGAGGGCACUGUCGGGGUCUCUUGGAUGCUCUUGGAAAAAGCUACUUGCCAUUUAUAACUUCUCAGCGUGGAAGUCAUGAAGCAGGACACUAACGAAUUGAAGAAAAUGAGUAGUGUCAUUAUGUCCACGAUUCUACAAAGAUACUGGCCUACUUCAACAGUAAACCCACUCAGAGGGAAAUUGCACGCAAUGGUGAUGGCUGGAGCCCCAGAGGCGCCGGGCACGGGUGGCCUUGCUGGCCUGCGCUUGGACGGCUCCCACGUCCUGAGAGGCAGGAGCAGGGCUCAGAGGGCCUGACCCCAUCUGCACCAGGAGUUUGGUUCUGUGCUUAGAGGAUGUGCUAAGGGCUGCCAGGGAAGGUGAGGCAUGUCCCACAGAGACACCGAGACUGCAGUCCACACUCUGGAUGGCCUCAAGACGGUGAGGUUCUUGGGGCAGAAGUAGAGGGACUUGGAACCACCCUCUGAAUCUCUAACAAGUGGCAGGAAAAAAGAAUCAGACGCUCCAACUGCGGGAGGAAGCAGUCCUUUUGGGGACUCGCAGUCCAACGUGGAGCGGCCUGACCAGCACAGGGCUCAGGGGAGUGAAUUCGGAGCUGCAGCCGCGGCCAGAACCUGGUCCCUGGGCGGUGAGUGUGCUGGACUCGCCUGUGGAUCACCCCGGGAGGUCUGCCUGGAGGUCUGAAGGUGUCCUCUGGCGGGUUUGGUGUGGCAGCCACACCCUCAGAGCCAUUCCUGAGGGACAGGAAACCAGAGGCUGGGAAAGCAGAGUGUGGGUCCUGCCUCCGGCCUCCAUGGAGGAGGCCCUCGGUGAGCAGAGGCUGCCCUGCCCCAAGGGCUGCUCAUGCCAAGCUCACCAGAAGAAUCGGAGAUGCCUCGACUUCCCGAGAGCUUUCCGCAGCCCAGGCCACCGUGAGGGGAGCAGGCUGCACUCCUCUAAGACCCAGGAGGCUCGCCCAUGGCAGACUAACACCCUUGGUGAUCCGCUCGCUUCUGCCCAUUUACUAGUAUCUGUGAAGAAGAUGACAAGCAGGUGUUAGUCUUGGGUCCUCAGGUCCGAACGCCUCACCCUGCUGCGGAAGUCCACACAGAAGCAGCCUUUCCCGCCAUUCUGGGCGCUGAACCCAGGCCUGGAUACAGAGCUGCAGGCCCCGCGUGGCGCCUGGGGCUGGCCUUCCUCACCAUCCGGCCUCCGCAGCGCCUCCGCCUGCGCCUUGGUGAGUCAAGAAGGGAUCCCGAGGGUCUCUGGAGAAGCCUACUUCAGGUUCCUGUGGAGGUGGGUGCUACUUCACUGCCAGGAGCUUGGGAUGGACGAAGGGCGCGCUCUGUGCUGUGCUUCGCUGCCUGUGAGCUCAGGAGCCGGGGGGCGCGUGGCAAAGCAGGGGAAGGCCACCUGAGGCCCAGCAGCAGCCUGAAGGAGAGUGAUGGGCAAGACGCAGGCUGGGCUCGGACCUGGGGCCCUGGAGGCACCUCAGAGACACAUCAUCAUGUGCAUACAAUUGGCACUCAGAGCAUGCUGGGGACACGCCAGUGCCAUCUGGUGCCAAUGGUGAAAUGCAAAGACUGAUCAUGUAGAGUUCUCUCACGUAUCGAGUUACUGCCGCGUAAUGUGUUGUCCACUGUCAGACACCGAAUAGCUGCAGCUGACCCUGACCCCGGGGAGCAGGAGGAGUGAGGGCUGAGGGAGACUCUGAUGAUCUCGGGAGCCAGCAGGCUUCUAUAAAGGACAUCGCUUCCAGCCUCGAAAUACACAGGAUCACUUACAGCUAAAGUGAAUAUGGAUCAGCUCAUGCUUUAAAGUUGAUAGCACUAACCCCUGAGUUUCUUAUUGACUUAAAACUAGACACACUCCAUUUUAAGGUGUUUUUGUCAAAGCUGAAUUUUAUAAAAGGUUUUGCCUUCCUUGGAGUUUUGUGAAGAAGUCAGCGCACGGUUCUGACCCAUGGUGCUGGAACAUGUCCAUUAACCAGCUCAGCCUGGGGCCAGAGACACCCGAUUAACAUGGUGGACACAGUGUCACAAUCACCACUUUCAAGUCACCAGCAGAUGCCAGCUGGCUCCACACCCUCCUGGAGUUCACCUGUCUGCCUUCCGAGGCUGGAAGAGACAGCUCCAGCACCAUCCUCAGUGCCACCCUCAAAACUUGAGCUUCUCAAGUAAAAAACUGAGCACUAAAAUAACACCCAUCAAUACAUAAGCAAGUGAAUGAAAAAUAAGAAACAUAAAUGGGCAACAGUAUAUGAACAAUGUGCACCACCAUUAGCAACCAGGGAAAUGCACAUCCCACCUGCACUGAGGUUCCUCCCCCAGGCAGCGUGGUAGUCGGCAGGAAUGCCAACAACAUAACUGCUGGAGAGGACGUGGGGGAAGAGGAGCAGGUCACAGUGCUGGUGGAGUGCAAAUUAGUGCCACCACCUGGAAAUCAGCAUGGAGGCUCCUCCAAAGACCAGGCCUGGAACCACCCCCUGGCCCAGCUUCCCCUCUCCUGGUACUGACCUAGAGAGGCAAUGUCGUCCUCCUACAGUGGUCUGUGCACACCGUGUUGACAGCAGCUCAACUCACAGGGGCCAGCCUCUGGAAGCAGCCCAGUGUCCAUCACUAGAGGAAUCAAUAAAGGAAAUGUGGUGUGUGCACACAGUGGAGGCUACUCAGCCAUAAGAAAAUGAGAUCAUCCAUCUUGGGGACAAUGAGUAGAACUGUGGGCAUCAUGGUAAGUGACCUCAGUCAGACUCAGAAGGGGAAGGGGGUCUGUUUUCUCUCCUAUGUGGAAGCCGGAGGAGAAACAGGGAGAGAAAGGUGGGGGAGACUCUCAUGGAGACCAAGGGAGAUCAGCAGAGGAGAGGGCCAGGGGGCGGGGAGAGGAAAGGACCGAUACUGGCCAAUGUACCUUGUGUGAAUGUACAAACAUGUCACAGUAAACCCCACCAUCACUGCAACUGCAACGCAC
This 3500-nucleotide long non-coding RNA is filed under the name Marmota monax (woodchuck). The record is from RNAcentral. Lineage: Eukaryota; Metazoa; Chordata; Mammalia; Rodentia; Sciuridae.